UUUUAUGGAGAGUUUGAUCCUGGCUCAGAGUGAACGCUGGCGGCGUGCCUAAUACAUGCAAGUCGAACGAUGAAGCUUCUAGCUUGCUAGAAUGCUGAUUAGUGGCGCACGGGUGAGUAACGCAUAGGUCAUGUGCCUCUUAGUUUGGGAUAGCCAUUGGAAACGAUGAUUAAUACCAGAUACUCCCUACGGGGGAAAGAUUUAUCGCUAAGAGAUCAGCCUAUGUCCUAUCAGCUUGUUGGUAAGGUAAUGGCUUACCAAGGCUAUGACGGGUAUCCGGCCUGAGAGGGUGAACGGACACACUGGAACUGAGACACGGUCCAGACUCCUACGGGAGGCAGCAGUAGGGAAUAUUGCUCAAUGGGGGAAACCCUGAAGCAGCAACGCCGCGUGGAGGAUGAAGGUUUUAGGAUUGUAAACUCCUUUUGUUAGAGAAGAUAAUGACGGUAUCUAACGAAUAAGCACCGGCUAACUCCGUGCCAGCAGCCGCGGUAAUACGGAGGGUGCAAGCGUUACUCGGAAUCACUGGGCGUAAAGAGCGCGUAGGCGGGAUAGUCAGUCAGGUGUGAAAUCCUAUGGCUUAACCAUAGAACUGCAUUUGAAACUACUAUUCUAGAGUGUGGGAGAGGUAGGUGGAAUUCUUGGUGUAGGGGUAAAAUCCGUAGAGAUCAAGAGGAAUACUCAUUGCGAAGGCGACCUGCUGGAACAUUACUGACGCUGAUUGCGCGAAAGCGUGGGGAGCAAACAGGAUUAGAUACCCUGGUAGUCCACGCCCUAAACGAUGGAUGCUAGUUGUUGGAGGGCUUAGUCUCUCCAGUAAUGCAGCUAACGCAUUAAGCAUCCCGCCUGGGGAGUACGGUCGCAAGAUUAAAACUCAAAGGAAUAGACGGGGACCCGCACAAGCGGUGGAGCAUGUGGUUUAAUUCGAAGAUACACGAAGAACCUUACCUAGGCUUGACAUUGAGAGAAUCCGCUAGAAAUAGUGGAGUGUCUGGCUUGCCAGACCUUGAAAACAGGUGCUGCACGGCUGUCGUCAGCUCGUGUCGUGAGAUGUUGGGUUAAGUCCCGCAACGAGCGCAACCCCCUUUCUUAGUUGCUAACAGGUUAUGCUGAGAACUCUAAGGAUACUGCCUCCGUAAGGAGGAGGAAGGUGGGGACGACGUCAAGUCAUCAUGGCCCUUACGCCUAGGGCUACACACGUGCUACAAUGGGGUGCACAAAGAGAAGCAAUACUGCGAAGUGGAGCCAAUCUUCAAAACACCUCUCAGUUCGGAUUGUAGGCUGCAACUCGCCUGCAUGAAGCUGGAAUCGCUAGUAAUCGCAAAUCAGCCAUGUUGCGGUGAAUACGUUCCCGGGUCUUGUACUCACCGCCCGUCACACCAUGGGAGUUGUGUUUGCCUUAAGUCAGGAUGCUAAAUUGGCUACUGCCCACGGCACACACAGCGACUGGGGUGAAGUCGUAACAAGGUAACCGUAGGUGAACCUGCGGUUGGAUCACCUCCUUUCUAGA
Molecule: ribosomal RNA, 1510 nt
Filed under: Helicobacter pylori
Lineage: Bacteria; Pseudomonadati; Campylobacterota; Epsilonproteobacteria; Campylobacterales; Helicobacteraceae
Description: bacterial SSU rRNA
Rfam family: Bacterial small subunit ribosomal RNA
Source: RNAcentral